UCUCAUCUCGGGAAAAAAAGUUAUUCAGAUUACAACAUUGUAAUGGCAGUGCACUUGGAAAAAUGAGAGGGAGCAAGUGAUGCGAAUUGCAUUACAUGCUGUGAUGAGUUGACGAAAGUUCUCCAGGGAGAAUGAGCAUGUUUGCAAACAUCCUGUCUCAAUCCCCAACGCUCUUGUCUUUAAACUCUUCUGUUUGUAUAUAUGGAUGGUGGCACCGUGGAACAGCCGGGCAGAGCCCCAGAUGGCAAACGUUAAUACCUUAGAAGUAAACUGUUGCAGUUCUAUUCAGCAUGCGGUGUGUGGAGUUUGGAGGAGGAUGCCCUUCUUGUGGGCAAGGUGGUUGUACUCAUCCAACAACUGAAGCUGGAGAAUGCCACUUAGCAAGCAACAACCAUCAACCUCCCUACUUCAUAGCAGAAGUUGCUUGCUAUAUUGAGCAGGCUUUUGUGCCUAUGCCCAGCGUUGCCCACCUUUCACCACUUGCACGCUUUGGGCCUGUUUUCACACGUAGACACUAAAGCAGUACUGCAUUGGCAGAUGAUCUGAAUUCUGUGCCAGCAACUAACUACGUACUGAUAUUUUCCACCUGAGACAUGUCUUGAGACAAGUUGAGUGCAAGACGGUUUAUAAAAGAUUGUGUAAGUUGUACCUGUGUGGAGAUCUCAGUCAUACACGUAUGUACAGUAGAGGCGCAUCUCAACAUUGCUCCCUCGUUUCUUAUAACCCUCAUAUGACAGUCAAGCCUACUUCUAUAAAGUUGGAGUCCAUUUUAAAGGAACCAUGAGGGAGAAAUUCAUAUAACCCAUGGGCAGACAUCAUGAAAUACUGACUUGCAUGGCUAUGUAUAGUCUACCACAAGAGCAGCCUAAAUACUCGACCGGCAAGAGGGAUAUGCUGUCUUUGGAAGGAAUGAUUGAGUUGCAAGCACAACAGUGGAGGAGCUUUAGCAUGAACGGAGCAUUUUUCAGUGAUCUAGGCCCAGCUUGGUUCGUUGCAGAUACGGAUAACAGCUCAACUGUAUUUCCUUCAGCUCAUCAGUUAAUUGUGGAGUCAUCCGCAGUGCUACUGAACUGGGAGACAAAGUUAUUGACACCGUCCAUGCAGAAGUCGUACAGGAUGUUUGCAAGACAUAAAGACAAAGGCAUUAAAUCAGCACAAUGGAUGGUUUUGUACCACACAACUGAAUAAAAUGUAUUCACUAAUA
Molecule: long non-coding RNA, 1204 nt
Organism: Amblyraja radiata (thorny skate)
Lineage: Eukaryota; Metazoa; Chordata; Chondrichthyes; Rajiformes; Rajidae
Exons: 2
Source: RefSeq, a predicted model, not a curated record